This is a non-coding RNA of Pangasianodon gigas (Mekong giant catfish), 72 nucleotides long. NCBI's taxonomy places the organism in Eukaryota, Metazoa, Chordata, Actinopteri, Siluriformes, Pangasiidae. The record is from the annotation of a GenBank genome assembly.
UCCCUGGAGGACUAGUGCUUAGGCCACAGCACUCUCACUACUGCAACUUGGGUUCAAUUCCUAGCCAGGGUA